RNAcentral lists this ribosomal RNA (756 nucleotides) under uncultured bacterium. Its description in RNAcentral is "bacterial SSU rRNA". It matches the Rfam family "Bacterial small subunit ribosomal RNA", at positions 8 to 796 of the family's 1533-position model. The record is from RNAcentral.
AGAGUUUGAUCCUGGCUCAGAAUCAACGCUGGCGGCGCGCCUAACACAUGCAAGUCGAACGAGAAAGGGGAGUAAUCCCUGAGUAAAGUGGCGUACGGGUGAGUAACACGUGGAUCAUCUACCUCUUUGUGUGGAAUAACCCUGGGAAACCGGAGCUAAUACCGCAUAAGCCUGAGAAGGGAAAGCAGCAAUGCGCUGAGAGAGGAGUCCGCGGCCGAUUAGCUAGUUGGCGGGGCAAUGGCCCACCAAGGCAAAGAUCGGUAGCCGGCCUGAGAGGGCACACGGCCACACUGGCACUGAAACACGGGCCAGACUCCUACGGGAGGCAGCAGUGGGGAAUCUUGCACAAUGGGGGAAACCCUGAUGCAGCGACGCCGCGUGAGCGAUGAAGCCCCUCGGGGUGUAAAGCUCUUUCGGCAGGGAAGAUGAUGACGGUACCUGCAGAAGCAGCUGCGGCUAACUACGUGCCAGCAGCCGCGGUAAUACGUAGGCAGCAAGCGUUGUUCGGAGUUACUGGGCGUAAAGGGUGUGUAGGCGGUUCUUUAAGUUUGGUGUGAAAUCUCCCGGCUCAACUGGGAGGGUGCGCCGAAUACUGAGGGGCUAGAGUGCGGGAGAGGAAAGUGGAAUUCCUGGUGUAGCGGUGAAAUGCGUAGAUAUCAGGAGGAACACCGGUGGUGUAAACGGCUUUCUGGACCGUAACUGACGCUGAGACACGAAAGCGUGGGUAGCAAACAGGAUUAGAUACCCUGGUAGUCC